GGAAGGAUCAUUACUGAAUAAAUUUGAACAGGCUGUUGCUGGCCCAAGAUUUGGGUAUGGUGCACGCUUGUCAUUUUUGUUUCUCCAACUGUGCACAUACUGUAGACCUUUUGUUGUUAUUGUUGCGAUUGAGGAUUGCUGCCAAUUUGAUUCAGCUUUGCCUUGAAAAGGGUCUAUGUUGUUUUUUCAUCAAAUCUCUGAAUGUAUUAGAAUGUUGAGUUGUGAACAAUGUAAUACAACUUUUAGCAACGGAUCUCUUGGCUCUCGCAUCGAUGAAGAACGCAGCGAAAUGCGAUAAGUAAUGUGAAUUGCAGAAUUCAGUGAAUCAUCGAAUCUUUGAACGCAUCUUGCGCUCCUUGGUAUUCCGAGGAGCAUGCCUGUUUGAGUGUCAUUUUAAAUUCUCAAAACCAUGUUCAAUAUAUCAUGGCUUUGGAUGAAUGGGGGUUUGUUUGCAGGCUUUUUAAAAGUCAGCUCCCCUGAAAUGUAUAGAGAUGGUAUAUGAUUUACAAUGUGAAACAUGAUAAAAUCUAUCCAUGCUUUCCUUUGUAAUCUGCCACUUGUAAUGCAUAUAUUUUGUGCAUCUGACAAAUUUGAUCUCAAAUCAGGUAGGACUACCCGCUGAACUUAAGCAUAUCAAUAAGCGGAGGAAAAGAAACUAACAAGGAUUCCCCUAGUAACUGCGAGUGAAGCGGGAAAAGCUCAAAUUUGAAAUCUGGUGGUUUCAUUGAUCAUCCGAGUUGUAAUCUAGAGAAGUGUUACCUGUGCUGGACCGUGUACAAGUCUCCUGGAAUGGAGCAUCAUGGAGGGUGAGAAUCCCGUCUUUGACAUGGACUGCCUGUACAUUGUGGUGCGCUCUCAAAGAGUCGAGUUGUUUGGGAAUGCAGCUCAAAAUGGGUGGUAAAUGCCAUCUAAAGCUAAAUAUUGGCGAGAGACCGAUAGCGAACAAGUACCGUGAGGGAAAGAUGAAAAGAACUUUGGAAAGAGAGUUAAACAGUACGUGAAAUUGCUGAAAGGGAAACGCUUCAAGUCAGUCACGUUGGCUAGAAAUCAGCCUUGCUUUUGCUUGGUGUACUUUCUGGUUUGACGGGUCAGCAUCAAUUUUGACCAUCGGAUAAAGUCUUUGGGAAUGUAGCAUUCUUUUGGAUGUGUUAUAGCCCAUUGUCGCAUACGGUGGUUGGGAUUGAGGAACUCAGCACGCCCUGCAAGGGGCCGGGUUUCGACCACGUUCGUGCUUAGGAUGCUGGCAUAAUGGCUUUAAUCGACCCGUCUUGAAACACGGACCAAGGAGUCUAACAUGCCUGCGAGUGUUUGGGUGGAAAACCCAUGCGCGCAAUGAAAGUGAAAGUUGAGAUCCCUGUAAAGGGGAGCAUUGACGCCCGGACCAGACCUUUUGUGACGGAUCCGCGGUAGAGCAUGUAUGUUGGGACCCGAAAGAUGGUGAACUAUGCCUGAAUAGGGUGAAGCCAGAGGAAACUCUGGUGGAGGCUCGUAGCGAUUCUGACGUGCAAAUCGAUCGUCAAAUUUGGGUAUAGGGGCGAAAGACUAAUCGAACCAUCUAGUAGCUGGUUCCUGC
Molecule: unclassified non-coding RNA, 1573 nt
Filed under: uncultured fungus
Lineage: Eukaryota; Fungi
Description: sequence contains 18S rRNA gene, ITS1, 5.8S rRNA gene, ITS2, 28S rRNA gene
Rfam family: Eukaryotic large subunit ribosomal RNA (bases 592-1573)
Source: RNAcentral